Cuculus canorus (common cuckoo) is the source of this 2301-nucleotide long non-coding RNA. RefSeq lists it as uncharacterized. Lineage: Eukaryota; Metazoa; Chordata; Aves; Cuculiformes; Cuculidae. The transcript has 4 exons. The record is from RefSeq and is a predicted model, not a curated record.
AGCUGCUCCUGGUCCGUAACGUCGCACUGGAGGAACACCGUCCUCUGCGGUUCGAACUGCUCGUCCAGAGCCGCCUUGCUCUCCUGCCCGGCCUCCGAGUUGCGGUCCAGCAGAGCUACCUGACCGGGAAGCCGAAUUACCCCACCAGCCUUCUUCCUCUCACUCUGCCAGUAGAAUCUGUUUGUGUGAAAAAGUAGCCAUUAAACAUUCUGGUUAUUAGACAUCAAGAGAAGGGUUUUUGAGACACUUUCAGGAUGCCUUCAUGUAUGGAAUCCCGUUCUUUCCUAUUAACUAGAAGAACCAAAUUAUAUUGCUCCUAACACCAGCAAACUGUUAAAGAACCAUUAAGGGAAAUCAGAGAAAUUCCACAAUUGUCUUGUCUGCAAAAAACUGGAAGACCUACAGAAUACCUGGAAUGUAGUAUAGAUUGCCAUCUGGUCAGAAGAAUGAUGUGGUGACAUUCAGAAGUAAUAUGGAAAAAUGAACCGAAACUCAAUGAAAAGAUAUGAAAAAGAAAGCAAAAGAACUGUCAAGUGAUGCACCUACAGGAAAUCACACUUAUCACUUCAGAUGAAAUUAUGAAAUUAGUUGAAAUUCUCAAAUGUCAACACUAUGGCACUUUUGUUCAAAAGAAGUUUAUGCUUUUAAGUUUUUUUUUUUGCGCUUGUUGUUAUGAAAUGCAUGAAACUGAACCAGAAAAUGAGUAACAACAACAACAACAACAACAACAACAACAACAACAACAACAACAACAACAAUUUCUAUAAAACUAUCUGUAUUGAGUUCUUAAUUUCUUAAAGGAAUGUAACUGCUGAUAUUAGUUGGAGAAAAUACGAAAACAAUCCAUAAAUCUUUCUUUCAGGCGUGGUCAAUGUAACCUUAAAUUUAAUAUUAAAAUUAGCAUCAGUUAUUUAAAAUAUAUAUAUAUAGAAAUGUGUAAUAAAGUAGUUCUAUGUCAAAGGGCAGACCUUAGCUAAUACUUAAAAUUUAAGCCAGUAGCCUGAUUUGUGAAGCCAGUAGCCUGAUUUGUGAAUUUUUUUAACUAUUAGAAGUUUACAGUCAAUUACUAGAUAUUAUUUACGAUUAUUUAAAAUGUUUACAACUAUCAAAUAAACUGCAUUUGCUAGUCAUUUGAGCGUAAUGUAUUAUGGGCUUUCUAACUGAGAUUCUCAGAUGCAUCUUGAUUUACAGAGGGUUUUAAUGAACUCCUCUAUGCAGCUUGGUAAGAGGCGCACAUUAUGCUAGUAUAGGCACCUUCAUUUUUUAUGAAUGUAGCUGCACUCAUCUUUCUGUCGAGAUUAAAAUCUCUAACUGAAAUAUCUAGUAAAAAUCUAUGUGGAGAUCAGGCAUCACCUGCACAUGCUGAAUUAAUUUGCUGAGACCUACAAAUUAGUUCCUGUUUGUGUAAUAGAGUUCACUUCACAUGACCAAUAGGAAGAUACCAAAAUUCUCAAUAUUGAACCAAUACUGAUCUAAGUUCAAAUUGGCCAUUAUAUUCUUGGAUAUGUGAAAAUUUUACUAAUAAGUACAUUCCCCUAAGAGGAUAUAACUAACUGGAUAACUCUUUUCCAUUUUAUAUUUUUGUUAUCAAGCAUGCAGUAAUAAUCUUCUAUUUUCAGAACUGAAGACAUCUGAAAACAUUUCUUGCUACUGGAAAAAAAUUAUCUUUGACUAUAUUAUGAAACUAAAACUGAAACUAAACCUCCUGACCUGGUUUUGCUGGGAUGGUAAACCUAUAAUAGACUGCAAAAAAUUUUAUGUGGAGCUAUAUAAGUAAGUCUUCUGAUGCAUUUCAGAAAUCAUAUAAAACCAGAAUAAACAGCCACAUCAAAUAUGGUAGCAUACUUAGCUAUUUAAUAAGGCUAUUAGCAUGUCAUUUUAAAUCACAACACAGAAAAUCUGAUAGAAAAUUAUUAUGAAAUAAAUGAGGACCUGGAAUUUUAGAAUGUCUUAUGCAAAGGGAGAUGUAUAACAUGCCAUUAAGAUUGUAGAGUGAAAUAAAUAAAACAAUUUAACAUCUAAGAACAGAUUCAAACUAACUUAUUUUUGCAAUGAUUUUCAUAAUGGUGGACAGAAAGGUGAAUAUGUGCCCACACUGUGCCUUUGCAGCAAUGAAAGCAAGAAACCUUCUGGGCUACAUCAGGCAUCACCAGCAGGCAAAGGGAGGUGAUUUUUUCCCCUCUGCUCAGCUCUGGUGAGAUGCAUCUGGUGUGCUAGGUCCAGUAUCUUUGUAGUGAUAAAAGUAGUUGUGAAAUGUGAGACUUCUCCAUAAAACUGAACUGCAAAUUCUCAGCCAUUGUA